Molecule: ribosomal RNA, 366 nt
Filed under: Triticum aestivum (bread wheat)
Lineage: Eukaryota; Viridiplantae; Streptophyta; Magnoliopsida; Poales; Poaceae
Description: partial small subunit ribosomal RNA
Source: RNAcentral
AUGAAUAAUCUAAAGGAUGCUAAUACUAAGAUUUUCCCCUCAAAGGCGAGGGGAGGUAAGGAACUGCCAUCCAGUUCUGCUUUAGAUUCACCUUCUGUUAUAAGUAAAAUUGCAACACCACAACAUGCUAUUAAUUCCGAUAUGUCGCAAGUUAUUGAUGAUGCUACUUCUGCUAUGAAUGCCACUCAUGAUGAUGCUAGUACAUUACUUGAUGAUGAUGUGCCACUAGGUGAAUUUCUUGAUGAACAAAAUGCUAGAGUAAGACAACAUAAUAUUGUUGAAUCUGAUGAUGAACUUGAAACUGAAAAUCUUGAAACACCUACUAGAACUAGUCCUCCUAGAUAUGAAUUGCCAAAGGUACCAUAA